GACCCCUUCUGUGCCGGAGUUAACACAAUAAGUAUUCCACCUGGGGAGUACGAUCGCAAGAUUGAAACUCAAAGGAAUUGACGGGGGCCCGCACAAGCAGUGGAGUAUGUGGUUUAAUUCGAAGCAACGCGAAGAACCUUACCAGGGCUUGACAUCCCUUGACAACCCUAGAGAUAGGGCAUCCCUUCGGGGCAAGGAGACAGGUGGUGCAUGGUUGUCGUCAGCUCGUGUCGUGAGAUGUUGGGUUAAGUCCCGCAACGAGCGCAACCCCUAUUGUUAGUUGCCAGCAUUAAGUUGGGCACUCUAGCGAGACUGCCGGUGAUAAAUCGGAGGAAGGUGGGGACGACGUCAAAUCAUCAUGCCCCUUACGUCCUGGGCUACACACGUACUACAAUGGCGACUACAGAAGGCAGCGAAACCGCGAGGUGAAGCAAAUCCUAAAAAGGUCGUCCCAGUUCGGAUUGCAGGCUGAAACUCGCCUGUAUGAAGUUGGAAUUGCUAGUAAUGGCAGGUCAGCAUACUGCCGUGAAUACGUUCCCGGGCCUUGUACACACCGCCCGUCACACCAUGAGAGUUGACAACACCCGAAGCCAGUAGUCUAACUUUUAGAGGACGCUGUCGAAGGUGGGGUUGAUGAUUAGGGUGAAGUCGUAACAAGGUAGCCG
Molecule: ribosomal RNA, 665 nt
Filed under: uncultured bacterium
Lineage: Bacteria
Description: bacterial SSU rRNA
Rfam family: Bacterial small subunit ribosomal RNA
Source: RNAcentral